UACGUAGGGUGCAAGCGUUAUCCGGAAUCACUGGGUGUAAAGGGUGUGUAGGCGGAUUUGUGCGUCAGAGGUUAAAUAUCCAGGCUUAACUUGGAAAAUGCCUUUGAUACGGCAAGUCUUGAGUAUAAGAGAGGAAGAUGGAAUUCCUGGUGUAGAAGUGAAAUUCGUAGAUAUCAGGAGGAACACCGGUGGCGAAGGCGGUCUUCUGGCUUAUUACUGACGCUGAGGCACGAAAGCGUGGGGAUCAAACAGGAUUAGAUACCCUGGUAGUCCACGCCCUAAACGAUGUAUGCUUGGUGUUUGCCACGUAAGUGGCAAGUGCCGGAGGUAACCCGUUAAGCAUACCACCUGGGGAGUACGAUCGCAAGGUUGAA
RNAcentral lists this ribosomal RNA (374 nucleotides) under uncultured bacterium. RNAcentral describes it as "bacterial SSU rRNA". It matches the Rfam family "Bacterial small subunit ribosomal RNA", at positions 524 to 898 of the family's 1533-position model. The record is from RNAcentral.